CCAAGACCAAGACGUGGACGGCCAAGAGAACGAUAACGAACAGAGACGCGUUAUCCAGAAUCCACGGUCCAGAUGUCGUCGUCGGUCUCCUCUCCGCCAUUGCCCAGAUCUCCAAAAGCUUCAGGGGCUCGCACCCUCGCCGCUGGCCAACGAAGCUCCACCUCGCCACGUCGAGAGAAGAGGGAGCGAGGCUUGAGGAGCUGGUUCGACCACAAUUACGCAAACAUCCUCCCGGCCCUUGGGUUAUGAUUUGAUCUUGGGCGUACCAUGUCCAGCGUUGAGACAUAUACUACUGGUUAGGUUAGACCGUCUGUGGGGGUCGCACGAGCACGAGUAAAAGUCUU
Molecule: long non-coding RNA, 344 nt
Filed under: Phoenix dactylifera (date palm)
Lineage: Eukaryota; Viridiplantae; Streptophyta; Magnoliopsida; Arecales; Arecaceae
Description: long non-coding RNA (PDAC_LNC017667)
Source: RNAcentral